Pelobates cultripes (western spadefoot toad) is the source of this 1723-nucleotide non-coding RNA. The record is from the annotation of a GenBank genome assembly. Lineage: Eukaryota; Metazoa; Chordata; Amphibia; Anura; Pelobatidae.
CCUGGGAUCACUACCCUAACUCGGAACUACUGCCGGUCAUGUACUAUCUGUGCUAAAUGCAACCCAGGUAAAAUAAUCAAAGCUGCACCGAAUCAUUUGGCCAAACCACAAUAUCCCUGCCAAAGGAUCCAAAUUGAUCAUAUCCAAAUGCCAAAGAGCGGCCGUUACGAGUAUGCACUGGUCAUAGUGGACAUGUUUUCAGGGUGGCCAGAAGCUUUCCCAGUUGCCAACCUUACCGCAAAGACUACCGCUAAACACCUACUCACCGAAAUUAUCUGCAGAUAUGGAGUCCCUGAAGUAAUUGAAAGUGAUCAAGGUACAUCUUUCACCGCAUUACUGACCAGAGAAAUCUGGGCUGCACUGGGGGUGACCCUUGCUUUCCACACACCCUAUCACCCACAGAGUAGUGGUAAGGUAGAACGCAUGAAUGGCACUCUGAAAGCCAGGAUGCUAAAAAUGUCACAGGAAACUAACUUGCCCUGGCCGGAGAGUCUUCCCAUAGCACUCUUUAGUGUAAGGUAUACCCCAAGGGGGAAGUUUAAUCUAUCCCCCUACGAGAUUUUGUUUGGGACAGCACCCAGGUGAGGUUGUUAUUUUCCACAACAAUUUCAACUUCUGUCAGACGCAAUGGUAGAUUAUAUAACUGCACUCUCUCAUGCCUUGACCAAAAUCCAUGCACAGGUGUUUUCUUCUAUUCUAGAUCCAGAAUCCAACACAGGCACGCACAAGUUACUACCCGGUGAUUGGGUUAUGGUCAAGAAAUUCCUAAGAAAACAUACUCUUGAGCCAAGGUUCGAUGGUCCAUACCAAGUACUAUUAAUUACAGCUACCUCUGUAAAGUUGGCUGGGAAGAACACUUGGAUACACGCUUCACACUGUAAGAAGGUUCCUGACCCAGAGGAAGCGGAUCCCACACCAACAUGAGCCUUUUAUAUAUAUGUUUGCUGCUAGGCCUUUUGGAGGCCCAACAAGUCGCUAUUACCAAAGACAAUCAUGUUUACACAUUUUGGUACAACUCUUCCAACACACAUGUGGCUACAUUUACUUUUGACUACUGUGAUAUUUGUACAUUUCCACAAUCACAACACUCAGCAAUAUACAAAAACAUACCAAACAAGAAGGAGCUGUACAUUUGUGUGACGGGUGGUCAUUGGGGACAUCACUGUAGUUAAUGGAAAGCAGCGGGUUGAAACACAGGCCGACCAUGGGGUUACAGACCACAGACUGCCUUAGACCGAGUUGACAGACACAGGAAAUCUUUGUUAUACCGAAUGACUUUGUGUAAACCAACAGGGUCUACUCCAAUAAAAUUGACCUUAAACAUAGAAUACCCCAACCCAGGUGAUGCCGGAGAAUACGUAAUGGGAAUGUAUUGGAAAGGGGGUGGCUCGUACAACAAGUUGGGAACAUUUUAUUUGCAAGACAUGCUUACAUCACCUGACUGGGUAGGGUCAACACACAUGAUAGUAAAUCCCCUGAAACUGCACAUCAAGACUCUCAAGGACAUGGUGGCUAUUGCCAAUCCCACAUUUGAAGACACUAUGGCUAUGGAGACUGGUUUUUCAGAUACUAAUCUAUGGCUUGAAUGGAUGAGGUACAAUGCUAACUCUCAUAAUAAAACCAACUGUUAUGUUUGUGGCCCCACUUAGGUACAGUACCCCUAAAUAUACCCCCCGAUGUUGAAACAUGUUUCUUAAGCCUCUAUGUACAAACAAUUGUAAAU